GAGGAGGAGGUUAGCCUUGAUGGCCAGGUGGUACCUCGGAAGGACACCUUUCGGUAUUUGGGGUCAAUGUUGCAGGAGGAUGGGGGUAAUGAUGAAGAUGUGAACCAUCAAAUCAAAGCUGGAUGGAUGAAGUGGCGCCAAGCUUCUGGCAUUCUCUAUGACAAGAGAGUGCCACAAAAGCUAAAAGGCAAGUUCUACAGGACGGCAGUUCGACCCGCAAUGUUGUAUGGCGCGGAGUGUUGGCCGACUAAAAGGCGACAUGUUCAACAGUUAGGUGUGGCGGAGAUGCGUAUGUUGAGAUGGAUGUGUGGCCACACGAGGAAGGAUCGAGUCCGGAAUGAUGAUAUACGAGAUAGAGUUGGGGUAGCACCAAUUGAGGAGAAGCUUGUCCAACAUCGUCUGAGAUGGUUUGGGCAUAUCCAGCGCAGGCCU
Molecule: ribosomal RNA, 432 nt
Filed under: Triticum aestivum (bread wheat)
Lineage: Eukaryota; Viridiplantae; Streptophyta; Magnoliopsida; Poales; Poaceae
Description: partial small subunit ribosomal RNA
Source: RNAcentral